Molecule: ribosomal RNA, 837 nt
Filed under: Triticum aestivum (bread wheat)
Lineage: Eukaryota; Viridiplantae; Streptophyta; Magnoliopsida; Poales; Poaceae
Description: partial small subunit ribosomal RNA
Source: RNAcentral
AUGGACGCCAUCCCACGCACCGCUGAGCUCCUCCUCCCCGACGAUGAUGCGGUGCUGCCUGAUGCUGACCCUGAUCGUGCGGAGCGCCUCGCCCUGGGCCUGGCCCGGUUCCCUGUUCGCAUUCACGUCACGGAAUGCGUCGACUUCCGCCAGCCGCCGCUGCCAUCGCCUUCGCCGCCGGAGCCCGAUGACCUUGGCCAUGCGCCGGACUCCCCACCGCUUCCUCCAAGCUGGCCGCAGCACCACGUGUUCCCCCCGGCUCGCAGCAGCGCGGCUCGUCCGCCGGGCGAUGGUCGUGGCCGCCGGCGCCGCCGCCGCCGUGUGCAUGUGCCCCCGCCAUGCCGGUUCUGGGCUGGCAUCCUCGGGGCCCACCCCGGCGCCGUGGCCGACGUCAUGCGAGUCUUCGCUCGCCUGCGAUUGGGCGCGCCCGCUGUCUUGGCAUCACCUUUGGCCCACCACGACUCGCAGACUGCGUGUGUUCUGCCACCAGCUGUCGAGCCUAUGUUGGCCCCCCUGGUGCUUGGGCCCGCCUCGGGUUUGAACGGCGUGGACAACCCGGUCUCCCCCUCGCUCCGAGGCCGCUGCCUUUCCCCCAGCGCUGAUCCCGCGACCCCGUCCAUGCUUGUCGCUCCAACCGCAUGCCCUGAUCCUGCGGCCCCACUCCUGCAUGCCGUUCCUGCCAUGGCUGAUGCGCCUGCCCCGCUGCUCCUGCCUCCUGCCCAACGGGUAGCUGCCGACACCCAUGGAGCAAUGAAAAAAAUAGCGCGCUACAGCAAAAUAGCGGCGACCUUAAAAUGUGCUAUUAGCGUGCUAUAUCAUGUUAUAGCAUGCUAUUAG